This 515-nucleotide ribosomal RNA is filed under the name uncultured bacterium. Its description in RNAcentral is "partial 16S ribosomal RNA". It matches the Rfam family "Bacterial small subunit ribosomal RNA", at positions 28 to 523 of the family's 1533-position model. The record is from RNAcentral.
GAUGAACGCUGGCGGCGUGCCUAAUACAUGCAAGUCGAGCGAAUGGAUUAAGAGCUUGCUCUUAUGAAGUUAGCGGCGGACGGGUGAGUAACACGUGGGUAACCUGCCCAUAAGACUGGGAUAACUCCGGGAAACCGGGGCUAAUACCGGAUAACAUUUUGAACCGCAUGGUUCGAAAUUGAAAGGCGGCUUCGGCUGUCACUUAUGGAUGGACCCGCAUCGCAUUAGCUAGUUGGUGAGGUAACGGCUCACCAAGGCAACGAUGCCUAGCCGACCUGAGAGGGUGAUCGGCCACACUGGGACUGAGACACGGCCCAGACUCCUACGGGAGGCAGCAGUAGGGAAUCUUCCGCAAUGGACGAAAGUCUGACGGAGCAACGCCGCGUGAGUGAUGAAGGCUUUCGGGUCGUAAAACUCUGUUGUUAGGGAAGAACAAGUGCUAGUUGAAUAAGCUGGCACCUUGACGGUACCUAACCAGAAAGCCACGGCUAACUACGUGCCAGCCGCCGCCGUAA